AGAAUCAACGCUGGCGGCGUGCCUAACACAUGCAAGUCGAACGAGAAAGUGGAGCAAUCCAUGAGUAAAGUGGCGCACGGGUGAGUAACACGUGACUAACCUACCUUUUAGUGGGGGAUAACCUAGGGAAACCUGGGCUAAUACCGCAUAACACUUACGAGUCAAAGCAGCAAUGCGCUGAAAGAGGGGGUCGCGGUCGAUUAGUUAGUUGGCAGGGUAAUGGCCUACCAAGACCGUGAUCGAUA
RNAcentral lists this ribosomal RNA (245 nucleotides) under uncultured bacterium. RNAcentral's name for it is "partial small subunit ribosomal RNA". It matches the Rfam family "Bacterial small subunit ribosomal RNA", at positions 26 to 285 of the family's 1533-position model. The record is from RNAcentral.